AGUGAACGCUGGCGGUAGGCCUAACACAUGCAAGUCGAACGGCAGCACAGGAGAGCUUGCUCUCUGGGUGGCGAGUGGCGGACGGGUGAGGAAUACAUCGGAAUCUACUCUGUCGUGGGGGAUAACGUAGGGAAACCUACGCUAAUACCGCAUACGACCUACGGGUGAAAGCAGGGGAUCUUCGGACCUUGCGCGAUUGAAUGAGCCGAGGUCGGAUUAGCUAGUUGGCGGGGUAAAGGCCCACCAAGGCGACGAUCCGUAGCUGGUCUGAGAGGAUGAUCAGCCACACUGGAACUGAGACGCGGUCCAGACUCCUACGGGAGGCAGCAGUGGGGAAUAUUGGACAAUGGGCGCAAGCCUGAUCCAGCCAUACCGCGUGGGUGAAGGAGGCCUUCGGGUUGUAAAGCCCUUUUGUUGGGAAAGAAAUCCAGCUGGCUAAUACCCGGUUGGGAUGACGGUACCCAAAGAAUAAGCACCGGCUAACUUCGUGCCAGCCGCCGCGGUAA
RNAcentral lists this ribosomal RNA (506 nucleotides) under uncultured bacterium. Its description in RNAcentral is "partial 16S ribosomal RNA". It matches the Rfam family "Bacterial small subunit ribosomal RNA", at positions 29 to 523 of the family's 1533-position model. The record is from RNAcentral.